RNAcentral lists this ribosomal RNA (373 nucleotides) under uncultured bacterium. RNAcentral describes it as "bacterial SSU rRNA". It matches the Rfam family "Bacterial small subunit ribosomal RNA", at positions 527 to 898 of the family's 1533-position model. The record is from RNAcentral.
GUAGGAGGCAAGCGUUAUCCGGAUUCACUGGGCGUAAAGCGCGUGCAGGCGGUUCGGUAAGUUGGGCGUGAAAUCUCCUGGCUCAACUAGGAGAGGUCGUCCAAUACUACCGGGCUAGAGAGUGGUAGAGGAAGAUGGAAUUCCCGGUGUAGUGGUGAAAUGCGUAGAUAUCGGGAGGAACACCAGUGGCGAAGGCGAUCUUCUGGACCAUUUCUGACGCUCAGACGCGACAGCUAGGGUAGCAAACGGGAUUAGAGACCCCGGUAGUCCUAGCCGUAAACGAUGUGAACUUGGCGUCGGUGGGUUAAACUCCAUCGGUGCCGCAGCCAACGCGAUAAGUUCACCGCCUGGGGACUACGGCCGCAAGGUUAAA